RNAcentral lists this ribosomal RNA (459 nucleotides) under uncultured bacterium. Its description in RNAcentral is "SSU rRNA". It matches the Rfam family "Bacterial small subunit ribosomal RNA", at positions 26 to 518 of the family's 1533-position model. The record is from RNAcentral.
AGAAUCAACGCUGGCGGCGUGCCUAACACAUGCAAGUCGAACGAGAAAGUGGAGCAAUCCAUGAGUAAAGUGGCGCACGGGUGAGUAACACGUGACUAACCUACCCUUGAGUGGGGGAUAACCUAGGGAAACCUGGGCUAAUACCGCAUAAUACCUUCGGGUCAAAGGAGCAAUUCGCUUAAGGAGGGGGUCGCGGCCGAUUAGUUAGUUGGCGGGGUAAUGGCCCACCAAGACGAUGAUCGGUAUCCGGCCUGAGAGGGCGCACGGACACACUGGAACUGAAACACGGUCCAGACUCCUACGGGAGGCAGCAGUGGGGAAUUUGCGCAAUGGGGGAAACCCUGACGCAGCAACGCCGCGUGGAGGAUGAAGUCCCUUGGGACGUAAACUCCUUUCGAUCGGGACGAUAAUGACGGUACCGGAAGAAGAAGCCCCGGCUAACUUCGUGCCAGCAGCCGC